CAGACUUUCCUGAAAUAGCUCCCUCUGGGUGGGCACCUGACCUUCCUGAAAGUUCCUCCACUCCCCCGCCCCCACCUCUCCCUGACUCCUGACUUUGGAGAUUCUCAAAAGAAUUUUUAAACCUUCCUCUGACCUACCAGUGGCAUCACCCCAAUCAAGCAACAGAUUUUAGAUGCACAUUUUUCUUGUUCACCCACCUUCAUUGACAAGCCCAGUCACUCCAUGCCUUGAUUUUGUUUUGGUUCUUGAGGCUGCAGCCAGCUGCAGUUAUUCUCAACUCUUGAUGGCACUGGAGAGGAGGGUCGUUGUGGGAUAACCCUGACUCAGUGGGGCCCAGGAGAAAAAUGCUGGGUUUCUCCAUGGUCCUGGGCCUGGGAUAGAUGGGGAGCCAUUACAGUGGGUUGGCUCUGGCUGGAGCAGGGUUCAUGGGAAUCCCUAGUUGACUCUCACCUUGGUCAAUGUUCCUCAAAAUAUCUUCAAAAGGUUUCCUUGAGAUGCUUCUGCAAAGGAAAGAAUACUCUGCUCGGAUACAUCUGGGGAACUCAGUCCCGCUCAGUCCUUGAUUGCAAGCCACAGAAGCCAAUUGUCUGAAUUUAAGCUUAGACAGGAGUUAUUCUAAGGACAUGAGGUAGCUCAAAGAAUUUCCUGAAGGAUCAGAAAAUAAAGUUCAGGAAUAAAGCAACUGGGAAAAGCACCCAAAGUCACAUUGUAGCACUGGUUCCAGGAAGACCCCACUGCCACACAGGCACCUUAGCUUGGGCCACCAGCUCCACCAGCCCUGGAACCAUCACCUCCGCUGUAGCCUCUGGAGACCGUUGCCACACCCCAAGCCCCACCCCAUCACUAUGCUGGGGCUUCUGCUUCUUUGUAUUUAAUUCUUCUUUACAAUAGUAGGUUAGCCACUUCCAGCUUCUGUACUGGGAGGCAGCCUCUGCCUCAAAACACAGGGGGACAUCCUCAGACCUAGGCAGGGAGAGCAGGUGCUGGGUGGCCCAAAAGAAUGACAAGGGGUUCUUUACACUGUGGCCCUGAUCUCCAUUGCAAUGCUUUAGGACAGGGAUUCUAGAAGUGGCUGACCUACAUUGUCUCAGCCCCUCUUGCAGCAAGGGGAGAGACCCGUGACCUCAUUCCACCAACCAGAUGCAUUCUCUCAGGCUUUGAAUCAAAAUGUCCCCUUGAGGACAAAGUCACCCCUGGUUGAGAACCACUGUCUAGGAUUGGCUGGAAAUCUGUAAUCCAUUUGUGGAACCAGGAUUGGUUUAAUCUGCUUUUCCAAACUGAUUUAACCAUGGGAAACCUUUUUCUCUGAUGCUCUUUGGCUUUGUUUCACAUGACUUAUUUUGGGAAACACUGAGGACCUAGGUCUAGGUGUUUCUUGAGGGUAGAAGGUUGCACAGUUCCAGUGGUGCUCCAGGUCUUCUAGUCACCACCUUCUCUACCUGCCCAUGUUCCUGAACAGGCUGGAGUCUCCCAGAGCCCAGAUUUGUGAAGGCCCAACCUCCAGGGAGUUGGUUGUGACUAUGAGAAAUAUUCCUAGAUCCAAGGGAGGAGCCUGCAGGAUGCCAGUCAGGUUGUAGGGUCAUUCUUCUUCCCUUAACUGUGAACUCACCCUGCAGACACAGGUAUUGGCCUAACCACUAAGAAUACAGCCUUGGAAACAAGUCUCCUGCCUGUGCUUGUCCCCUGUGGCCCCCAGCACCAUUUGACAAGGAUCCCACAAGACUCAGGUGGGCUUCAGCCCAGUUGGUCUCCAAUGUGCAGGCCCAGCCUCCCUGACCAUAUUCCACACAUUUUUACCAGGUCCAUGCAUGUUCACAGGUUCACCAGGCUCCGGAUUCAGGGCCAAGUGCAUCUGCCCCAGCCCAGAAAACAUUCCUACCACUGCAUGGUGGGACACAGGACCCUGAGGAGGAGCUGAUAGAGUUGUCAUUGACAAGACCAUAGGUGCAUGUCUCCCUGCACACUAAGCAGUCCCAUCUGAGGACUUCUGUGACCCAACAGUCUCCCCACAGAUGGCUCAGUUUUUGCUUGAAGCUUCAUCUUUGGACCUCCCUCAUGUGGCUCAUGGUCCCUUCCAGUGAUCUUGGUUCUUAACCUUGGGGAACUGGUACAGUGAAAAUAGAAUGAGACCAGGGUUAGACAAAGCUGUGUUUGAUCUACUUUGGGCAUGUCACCUUUCUCUCUGAACUUCAAUUUCAUUGUCUGUGUAGAUUUUUUAAAAGCACUUUCUUCUCCUACAUGCCAGGAUUCUGUAUUUUAGGUAUGACCGGUGGCUCCUGGGUGGUAGAGGGUAGGGCCCCUGAUGCCUCCUGAAGAAUUGAGGUCCCCAUGCUUUGGGCCCCAGGGUGUAUCUUCAUGGGGCAGGGGAGACAACUGGAGUAUAAAAAAAGGAAAGAAAAAAAAAAAACCAAAGGUCUGAAAAAUGCCUUGGAUCUCAACCAGCCAGAGGAUGCGCCAAUGGAAAAUUCCUGCUAUGUGUCAGAGGCCCACCUGGCCCGGGUGACAGCCAGCCAGACGCACAGGCCCCACUGCAUGUUUAGACAGCAUUUUCCUGCCCUGGCCAGAGAUCCCCCUGGCCCUCACCAAGGCUUCUCCUGGGAAAAGCGGGUAGGGUGGUCUGGGGUCUUUGCCUGGGUUCAGCUGUCUGUAUCUCAGAUUCUGGGACUGGCUCUAGGAGCAGCACGGUGAGCUUUGAUAGAAAAAGAGGGCAGCAGGAGGCUCAGGCCUGGGGCCUGCCCUAAGCCUACCUCUGUAACCCAGGAGUAGCUGUGUCCCCUCUGCAGGCCCCAGAAUCCCCACCUAUAUGGCAUAUGAAGUGGACAUGAAUGUCUCCAGAGUCCUCACAACCCAAACAUCCUGCUGGAUCAGAUCUCCAAUAUCAGAGGGCUUCCUCCUCUGCCCCAGCAGAGGCCAAGGUCGCUCAUGAGCAGAUCCUAGGGGAGACUCCAGCAGAUGCCUCAGAGGCUUAUGCUGUCCGUCAGAGGAAAGUGGCCACAGUUAUCUUUAACUUUGGGACUAACAAGGUGGCAGUGCUAUCAGUGCAUGCUGAGGUUUGCUAAGGGUGAGGGCUAGGGACCUGGGAAGGGCCAAGGGGAACCUGGAGCCUCAGGGUACAGUAUUUGUACAACACCUUUGGAGGAAGUCUUUGAAUCUAGGAAUGCUCCAGAGAACACGGUGCAUGUUCUUUUUCUGUUGGUUGG
This 3200-nucleotide long non-coding RNA is filed under the name Marmota monax (woodchuck). The record is from RNAcentral. Lineage: Eukaryota; Metazoa; Chordata; Mammalia; Rodentia; Sciuridae.